GAUGAACGCUGGCGGCGUGCCUAAUACAUGCAAGUCGAGCGAACGGACGAGAAGCUUGCUUCUCUGAUGUUAGCGGCGGACGGGUGAGUAACACGUGGAUAACCUACCUAUAAGACUGGGAUAACUUCGGGAAACCGGAGCUAAUACCGGAUAAUAUUUUGAACCGCAUGGUUCAAAAGUGAAAGACGGUCUUGCUGUCACUUAUAGAUGGAUCCGCGCUGCAUUAGCUAGUUGGUAAGGUAACGGCUUACCAAGGCAACGAUGCAUAGCCGACCUGAGAGGGUGAUCGGCCACACUGGAACUGAGACACGGUCCAGACUCCUACGGGAGGCAGCAGUAGGGAAUCUUCCGCAAUGGGCGAAAGCCUGACGGAGCAACGCCGCGUGAGUGAUGAAGGUCUUCGGAUCGUAAAACUCUGUUAUUAGGGAAGAACAUAUGUGUAAGUAACUGUGCACAUCUUGACGGUACCUAAUCAGAAAGCCACGGCUAACUACGUGCCAGCAGCCGCGGUAAUACGUAGGUGGCAAGCGUUAUCCGGAAUUAUUGGGCGUAAAGCGCGCGUAGGCGGUUUUUUAAGUCUGAUGUGAAAGCCCACGGCUCAACCGUGGAGGGUCAUUGGAAACUGGAAAACUUGAGUGCAGAAGAGGAAAGUGGAAUUCCAUGUGUAGCGGUGAAAUGCGCAGAGAUAUGGAGGAACACCAGUGGCGAAGGCGACUUUCUGGUCUGUAACUGACGCUGAUGUGCGAAAGCGUGGGGAUCAAACAGGAUUAGAUACCCUGGUAGUCCACGCCGUAAACGAUGAGUGCUAAGUGUUAGGGGGUUUCCGCCCCUUAGUGCUGCAGCUAACGCAUUAAGCACUCCGCCUGGGGAGUACGACCGCAAGGUUGAAACUCAAAGGAAUUGACGGGGACCCGCACAAGCGGUGGAGCAUGUGGUUUAAUUCGAAGCAACGCGAAGAACCUUACCAAAUCUUGACAUCCUUUGACAACUCUAGAGAUAGAGCCUUCCCCUUCGGGGGACAAAGUGACAGGUGGUGCAUGGUUGUCGUCAGCUCGUGUCGUGAGAUGUUGGGUUAAGUCCCGCAACGAGCGCAACCCUUAAGCUUAGUUGCCAUCAUUAAGUUGGGCACUCUAAGUUGACUGCCGGUGACAAACCGGAGGAAGGUGGGGAUGACGUCAAAUCAUCAUGCCCCUUAUGAUUUGGGCUACACACGUGCUACAAUGGACAAUACAAAGGGCAGCGAAACCGCGAGGUCAAGCAAAUCCCAUAAAGUUGUUCUCAGUUCGGAUCGUAGUCUGCAACUCGACUACAUGAAGCUGGAAUCGCUAGUAAUCGUAGAUCAGCAUGCUACGGUGAAUACGUUCCCGGGUCU
RNAcentral lists this ribosomal RNA (1372 nucleotides) under uncultured bacterium. RNAcentral describes it as "bacterial SSU rRNA". It matches the Rfam family "Bacterial small subunit ribosomal RNA", at positions 28 to 1381 of the family's 1533-position model. The record is from RNAcentral.